RNAcentral lists this ribosomal RNA (497 nucleotides) under uncultured bacterium. RNAcentral's name for it is "partial 16S ribosomal RNA". It matches the Rfam family "Bacterial small subunit ribosomal RNA", at positions 28 to 507 of the family's 1533-position model. The record is from RNAcentral.
GAUGAACGCUGGCGGCGUGCCUAAUACAUGCAAGUCGAGCGAACGGACGAGAAGCUUGUUUCUCUGGUGUUAGCGGCGGACGGGUGAGUAACACGUGGAUAACCUACCUAUAAGACUGGGAUAACUUCGGGAAACCGGAGCUAAUACCGGAUAAUAUCUUUAACCGCAUGGUUCAAAAGUGAAAGACGGUCUUGCUGUCACUUAUAGAUGGAUCCGCGCUGCUUUAGCUAGUGGGUAAGGAAACGGCUUACCAAGGCAACGAUGCAUAGCCGACCGGAGAGGGGGACCGGCAACACUGGAAUGGAGACACGGCCAAGAUCCCAAGGGGAGGAAGCAGAGGGGAAUCUUCGGCAAUGGGGGAAAGCCUGACGGGGCAAGGCGGCGUGGUGGAGGAAGUUCUUCGGAUCGUAAACCCCUGUUAUAGGGGAAGAAGAUAGGUGGAAGGAACUGUGCACAUCGUGACGGUACCUAAUCAGAAAGCCACGGCUAACUACGUG